GAUGAACGCUGGCGGCGUGCCUAAUACAUGCAAGUCGAGCGAACAGACGAGGAGCUUGCUCCUCUGACGUUAGCGGCGGACGGGUGAGUAACACGUGGAUAACCUACCUAUAAGACUGGGAUAACUUCGGGAAACCGGAGCUAAUACCGGAUAAUAUAUUGAACCGCAUGGUUCAAUAGUGAAAGACGGUUUUGCUGUCACUUAUAGAUGGAUCCGCGCCGCAUUAGCUAGUUGGUAAGGUAACGGCUUACCAAGGCAACGAUGCGUAGCCGACCUGAGAGGGUGAUCGGCAACACUGGAACUGAGACACGGUCCAGACCCCUACGGGAGGAAGCAGUAGGGAAUCUUCCGAAAUGGGCGAAAGCCUGACGGAGCAACGCCGCGUGAGUGAUGAAGGUCUUCGGAUCGUAAAACUCUGUUAUUAGGGAAGAACAAAUGUGUAAGUAACUAUGCACGUCUUGACGGUACCUAAUCAGAAAGCCACGGCUAACUACGUG
RNAcentral lists this ribosomal RNA (497 nucleotides) under uncultured bacterium. Its description in RNAcentral is "partial 16S ribosomal RNA". It matches the Rfam family "Bacterial small subunit ribosomal RNA", at positions 28 to 507 of the family's 1533-position model. The record is from RNAcentral.